GUAAUUAGUAACACCUGCUCCAUGUAAAAUAAAUAGCCGCAGAAUUUUUACUGUGCUAAGGUAGCAUAAUCAUUAGCCUUUUAAUUAAAGGCUUGUAUGAAAGGUGAAACGUUUAAAUUUCUUUAUUUUAUUAUUACCUCCAAAAUUCUCUUAAGAAUUAAAAGAUUCUUAUUAAAUAACCAGACGACAAGACCCUAUUGAACUUUACUGAAGUUUAACUGGGGCAGUUAAUUAAUAAUCAUUUUAAUUUAUAUUAUUAUAUAAAUGACCCAAUUACCAUUGAUUACAUGAAUUAAGUUACCAUAGGGAUAACAGCGUAAUUUUUUUUUAAAGUUCAUAUAACAAAAAAAGAUUGCGACCUCGAUGUUGAAUUAUUGUUACAUAUUAAGGCGCAAAAGCUUAUAAUGUGGGUCUGUUCGACCUUUAAAACUUUACGUGAUC
RNAcentral lists this ribosomal RNA (441 nucleotides) under Nephila pilipes (giant wood spider). RNAcentral's name for it is "partial 16S ribosomal RNA". It matches the Rfam family "Bacterial large subunit ribosomal RNA", at positions 1845 to 2605 of the family's 2925-position model. Lineage: Eukaryota; Metazoa; Arthropoda; Arachnida; Araneae; Nephilidae. The record is from RNAcentral.